CUAAGUUUGAUGGCGACCGGCGCACGGGUGAGUAACACGUAUCCAACCUGCCGAUGACUCGGGGAUAGCCUUUCGAAAGAAAGAUUAAUACCCGAUGGCAUAGUUCUUCCGCAUGGUAGAACUAUUAAAGAAUUUCGGUCAUCGAUGGGGAUGCGUUCCAUUAGGUUGUUGGCGGGGUAACGGCCCACCAAGCCUUCGAUGGAUAGGGGUUCUGAGAGGAAGGUCCCCCACAUUGGAACUGAGACACGGUCCAAACUCCUACGGGAGGCGGCAUG
This 275-nucleotide ribosomal RNA is filed under the name uncultured bacterium. RNAcentral's name for it is "partial 16S ribosomal RNA". It matches the Rfam family "Bacterial small subunit ribosomal RNA", at positions 79 to 353 of the family's 1533-position model. The record is from RNAcentral.